UACGAAGGGGGCUAGCGUUGUUCGGAAUUACUGGGCGUAAAGCGCGCGCAGGCGGUCCUUCAAGUCAGGGGUGAAAUCCUGGAGCUCAACUCCAGAACUGCCUUUGAUACUGGGAAGCUUGAGUCCGGGAGAGGUGAGUGGAACUGCGAGUGUAGAGGUGAAAUUCGUAGAUAUUCGCAAGAACACCAGUGGCGAAGGCGGCUCACUGGCCCGGUACUGACGCUGAGGUGCGAAAGCGUGGGGAGCAAACAGG
RNAcentral lists this ribosomal RNA (253 nucleotides) under uncultured bacterium. Its description in RNAcentral is "partial 16S ribosomal RNA". It matches the Rfam family "Bacterial small subunit ribosomal RNA", at positions 524 to 776 of the family's 1533-position model. The record is from RNAcentral.